This 352-nucleotide unclassified non-coding RNA is filed under the name soil metagenome. Its description in RNAcentral is "partial contains 5.8S ribosomal RNA, internal transcribed spacer 2, and large subunit ribosomal RNA". The stretch from base 1 to 120 matches the Rfam family "5.8S ribosomal RNA", at positions 35 to 154 of the family's 154-position model. The record is from RNAcentral.
GAUGAAGAACGCAGCGAAAUGCGAUAAGUAAUGUGAAUUGCAGAAUUCAGUGAAUCAUCGAAUCUUUGAACGCACAUUGCGCCCGCCAGUAUUCUGGCGGGCAUGCCUAUUCGAGCGUCAUUACAACCCUCAGGCCCCCGGGCCUGGCGUUGGGGAUCGGCGGAGCCCCCCGUGGGCACACGCCGUCCCCCAAAUGCAGUGGCGGUCCCGCCGCAGCUUCCAUCGCGUAGUAGCUAACACCUCGCGACUGGAGAGCGGCGCGGCCACGCCGUAAAACACCCAACUCUUCUGAAGUUGACCUCGAAUCAGGUAGGAAUACCCGCUGAACUUAAGCAUAUCAAUAAGCGGAGGA